This 78-nucleotide transfer RNA is filed under the name Deltaproteobacteria bacterium RIFOXYD12_FULL_53_23. RNAcentral's name for it is "tRNA-Pro". It matches the Rfam family "tRNA". From Rfam's summary of the family: Transfer RNA (tRNA) molecules are approximately 80 nucleotides in length. Their secondary structure includes four short double-helical elements and three loops (D, anti-codon, and T loops). Lineage: Bacteria; Deltaproteobacteria. The record is from RNAcentral. RNAcentral also lists the same sequence under 20 other names.
CGGGGCGUAGCGCAGUCUGGUUAGCGCGCCUGCCUUGGGAGCAGGAGGCCGGAGGUUCGAAUCCUCUCGCCCCGACCA